Non-coding RNA from Brachypodium distachyon (stiff brome), 135 nucleotides. Lineage: Eukaryota; Viridiplantae; Streptophyta; Magnoliopsida; Poales; Poaceae. The record is from Rfam.
CAAAUACUCCCUCCGUCCAACAAAGGAUGUCUCAAAUUUGUCAAAAUUUGGAUGUAUCUAGACAUAAUUUAGUGUAUAGAUGCAUUUAAAUUUAGUCAAAGUUGAGCAUCCUUUGUUGGAAGAUGGGAGUAGAAA